ACUCCACAAUUGAAGAUGGCGAGAAGGAACUUCCAUAUCAGCUGCAAACAGACCCUAAAUGGCUGCACUCGGCUUCUGCUCUCCGUUAAUCCUGGACUUGAUGCCCUUCAGUGCACAUUAACAAGAAUGGAAACCAUGCAGAGGAGGUUUCUGAUGUCCUGUGCUUUCAGUGUGUCUCAGAUGGCAGAUAUUCUACAUGUGUCCUGAUCAACAGUCAAACGUUGUCUAAGAUACUUCAAUUUGUUACAUGCACCAACCAUUAUAUUCUGACAUGUCAGACUUGGCUCUGGAUGAAAAGAUAAAGGACUUGGUGGCUGGGAACGACAAACGUGGAGCGGAGGCUGUUCGAUCACAAUUAAGGGCUCUGGGUGCAGAGACUCAGAUUGAGGGACAGCAUGCUUCGUGUUAACCCGAGGGCGGCUGCCCUUAGAGCCAUGUCGCAGAGGCUGCAUAGAAGGUCAUACCGUGUUGCUGGACCAAACUCGUUAUAGCACCUUCAUGGAAACCACAAACUGAUAAGGUGGAGGAUAGUCAUACAUGGUGGCAUUGAUGGGUACAGCCGUCUCGUUGUUUCUCCGUGCUUCCAGCAGCAAUCGCAGCAGUACUGUAAUGGAUUGCUUCGUGAAUGCUGUCUCCAGAUAUGGCGUUCCCUCCAGAGUUAGGACGGACCAUGGAGGAGAAAACGGCACUGUCUGCUUGUUGAAUUGGUGACCUCCAAACACUGCUAAAGAGUUAAUGAGAUGCCAACCAAGUUAACGUGAUGAUUGUGCAAUGAGAGGCUUUAAGAGAGCCCGCUUUAGUCCGGAGGAAAAAAUAGACAUGGUUUUUAGGGAUGCUGACAGAAAAGGGGCCGCUGAGGGUGGUCCCUCAAGAGAAUUUCUCCGGCUGCUAAUGAGUGCCACCCAUUCCUCUGCAAUAUUUGAGGGACCUGCUUGGCAAAAAUGUCUUUCUUGCAACUCU
This is a long non-coding RNA of Salvelinus namaycush (lake trout), 960 nucleotides long. RefSeq lists it as uncharacterized. The record is from RefSeq and is a predicted model, not a curated record. Lineage: Eukaryota; Metazoa; Chordata; Actinopteri; Salmoniformes; Salmonidae. The transcript is spliced from 5 exons.